UACGGGGGAUGCAAGCGUUAUCCGGAUUUAUUGGGUUUAAAGGGUGCGUAGGCUGUGAGGUAAGUCAGCGGUGAAAUGCCACCGCUCAACGGGGUGAAGUGCCAUUGAUACUGCCUUGCUGGAAUGCGGAUGCCGUGGGAUGAAUGUGUGGUGUAGCGGUGAAAUGCAUAGAUAUCACACAGAACACCGAUUGCGAAGGCAUCUCACGAAUCCGCGAUUGACGCUGAUGCACGAAAGCGUGGGUAUCAAACAGG
RNAcentral lists this ribosomal RNA (254 nucleotides) under uncultured bacterium. RNAcentral describes it as "partial 16S ribosomal RNA". It matches the Rfam family "Bacterial small subunit ribosomal RNA", at positions 524 to 776 of the family's 1533-position model. The record is from RNAcentral.